GGGGUGGGAAGAAAACUUUUCCUCUGUCACCUUAGGUUCUGAAGGUUGGGGAGAUGCAAAUUAGCUGACAACAGACCAGGAGAGAAGACAAGGUUUCUUCAGAUCUGCAUGAAUACAGAGGCAGGUGGCAAUUAUCAGUCACCUGCUGAAUAGCUGGAAGCAAAUAUUGAUAUAGCAAAAAUGUGUGGGAGGAGGUGAGAGCUUCAAUGGAAAAUGGGAGAGACUCUACUGGGUUCUUUAAUGCCACUGGAGAGCUGAAUUCACACUUCCCAGGGCUAAAGGAGCAGUGGAGUGGAAGUACUCCUACAAGAUGGGAAAAGUUGUGCAUUCAGCAAUCCGUGACGAGCACACGUUGAGGCAGACAACGCCAUGCUGGAACUCUGCCUGCCUGAUAGACACCCAGAGAUGGGGCUAUUUGUGUUGGUAAAGUUUGUAUCAGUCAGAAUGGAGAGGUGGCGGCAACUGUGGAUGGAGACAGCCAUUUGGGAAUGUUCAAAUCAUGUUAGCUGCACUUUGUUUCACAUGCAAUAUUCCCUUUGUUCUCUCAUGAAAAUGCUAAAGAAACAGAAAAUGCCUUUCCAGGAAUUGUCAGGGAUCUAACUACAGAUGCGACUCAUUCAUUUAGAACAGUAAGUAGUUGGAAAAGGACACAAUAAUGUUCCCAGUUUGGCAUUUGUUUACCUCAGAGCUGCUAACAAAGCUAAUGUGACAACUAUUAAAAAGGAAAAUACUUUCCUUGCCUAAUUGAUGUAAAGAAUCGAAAAUGAUCAAAAUCCAAACCGAAUUUCAAUUAUUCUUCUGGCACGUACAUUUCUCAAGACUGUGAUGCUUUUUAACUUUGCUUCAUUAUCAUUUUCCAAUUGCUCUGUGGUCUUUGUAUUUUUUUUUAAUGGCAACUUGCGUCUUUAUUACUGCAGCCGUAACAUUCCAACAAUAAGCUGUGUCAUUUCUCAAGCAUUUCCCUGAGUUCCCAAUCAGCAGAGUUAUGUAAGGUGGCAGGUUAAUAAAUGCGACACACUGAAAUCAUUUGUACCAGACUACCUCUCCUUCCAAGCUCUGACAGAUGCUAAGUCCAGCUGGUAAAAAAAGUUUAUAGGCGAGUUGGAUCUGGGGUCUUCACACACUCCACAAUGUUGGCUACCAAUGCUUGUUUUAAUGAGUCACGGAUUGCCUGUUUAUCUUCUGCUCCCUGCUGUUUCUGCAUUUUCUCUUCCAGAACAAUCCUAGAAACACAUGCUGCUACAGACGCUGGAGCAAUGUGUGUAGACAUUUGAGCCAAAUUGUUAUAAAGAACUCUUUCUUCUCUGAUAUGAAAAAAGGAGCGAGAAUUGCACAUUGCCUAGCAAAUCGUUAUCUCAGAUGUUCGCUGUGACAUGCUCAAUAUGGCCUACCAGAAAAAGUUGGAGACAUUUGCAACCUUAACAACUACACAAAAUGACACUGUAAUUGGCGGGUUUUGUUGUUCAUGUUCUGGCUCAGCUAAAACUGCUCUAAACACUUUGUUUAAUGAUGUUACAUUAUGACAACACAUGGCUUCUAUACAGCAAGUCAUCAUGUUUAACAUGCAACUACACAGGAAAAGUAGCGAGCGGCCAGGAAACGGUACCAGGAGUCGCCCUUCAAAGUUCUCACUGCAAACCAAAAAUGAUUAGUCCAAAGCCUCCAGAUAAUUCCUCUUUCUCACUAAAGGCUCACUUAAGUUGGGUUCCCAGUUCUACUGGCUUAAGGUGACUUUUUUAGGGAAACUCGGUUUGAGUGAGUGUGUUGUGAGAGGAGGUAUUGCCAUCACAAUAUUUACUAUUUAACUGAGUUGUGGGAAAACAGCUUAAGAAAAAAGAAAGAGAGAAGCACAUGAGUCAGAUCAUGCCUUAAGCAAAUUGCUCACUGAGAGGCAGGUACUUUUGUUUGAACUUCAAAACAAAUUUUAUAUAUUUGUGUGUGUAUACAUAUGUGUAUGUUUUAUAUACAUAUUGUUUUAUAUAUGUAUAUACACAUACAUAUAAAAGAGUAAGUACACACUCUUCUCCAGAUAAAUUUGUGAGUAUCGUGUUUGUCUUCAUUUUAAUAGUUUUGGGUCAUCUCCUGAAUGUCUAGCUUUUGCUGUCUUAGAAAAAUACAGUGAAAAUUAGAUGCAACCUCUAGCUAUAGAUAUUUGAUUUAUAAUAGCAUGGAGAGAUGAGAGAUGAAAAACAAAUGUAAGGUAGA
This 2205-nucleotide long non-coding RNA is filed under the name Canis lupus familiaris (dog). Its description in RNAcentral is "lncRNA (ENSCAFG00040001739.1)". Lineage: Eukaryota; Metazoa; Chordata; Mammalia; Carnivora; Canidae. The record is from RNAcentral.